GCUGACAUGUCCCGGCCAAUCUCCAGCAGACCCUCCCUCCCAGACCCUCCUACUUCCUGGACAGCAUCCAUGUUUAAUGUUGAAACAUGGAUGCUGUCCAGGAAGUAGGAGGGUCUGGGAGGGAGGGUCUGCUGGAGAUUGGCCGGGACGUGUCAG
This is a non-coding RNA of Pelobates cultripes (western spadefoot toad), 156 nucleotides long. NCBI's taxonomy places the organism in Eukaryota, Metazoa, Chordata, Amphibia, Anura, Pelobatidae. The record is from the annotation of a GenBank genome assembly.